UGACAGCUGUGGAGGCAGCCCGCGUUCCCGGCAUGCCCCGGGGCGGCGGGGUUGGCUCUAACGAAUUUGAAUGAGGAGCCUUAGCGCUUUCGGCGCCAUUUUCGAGUGAUGCCUGAGCCCAUCAAUCUAGCGGGAGAGAUGGGAUAACCUGUCCGACAGUAGAUCGCCCAUAGGACUCCACCGAAAAAAAUCACUUAAAAAUCUCCAAAAAUCACUUCAAGCCGAGGGCAGUCCGCGGAGCUUGGCCAGGGUUGGCGCAGUCGGUUUUGACCUUAAGGAGAGGGCCAGUUCUGGAGAACAACCUAACUUCUUUGACUGAGCACUCACAUAAUGCACUGGAACAUGUUAGGAGAUUAAGGUUUAUAACGAUAAAAUGAAGACCAUGAUAAAACAGCCUUGUACUUAGUUCAUCAGUUCUUACCUUGCAUAUAUUUUGACACCUAAGGCACAUGAAGAAAGGAUUGAGAUUGGAAGCUACAGACAUUGUCUGUUCUGAGCAGAGUUUCUGACAAUAGACCACUGUAGCAAAGGGCAAUAAAUGCCACUGAGAAUAUCCCUCAACACAAAUCUGCGAUAGGGAAUUGCUGGCAAUGGAGCCGAGCAAGCUCGGUAGCGGAGCAGGCCUCCUGGAGGAGAUCUACACCUCCCCGGGCCACCCAUCGCUCGCCGCUCCUCCCCACCCGCGGUCCCGGCGCCCGCAGGUUCCCGCCGCGCUGCUGGACUGGACUCUCCCCGAGCUCUCGGCCAGCCCCCCGCUCCUCCCGCAGGUGCCUGCCCUGCCAGAACGAGCCCCCACCCUGGCAGCACCUCUGGGACCACCUCGUGCUCCCCGAGAGGAGCACGGCGGAUGGCACUUAGCUAGCACCUCCGGGGGCCGGAACGGGCCCUGCCUGGAGCCGCGCGGCCGCCCAGCUCCCGGCUGCAAAAUGGACUCGUGGGGCCUAUCGGGCCCGCCCCGCCGCCCUCCUCCCCCGGCACCUCGGUCCGCCUCCCGGGUCGGGAUUCGCCUUUGUUCCGCCUCCCGCGUCUUGCCUUUCCCAGGGAGAAGGAGAGGGUGAGGGGGAGGCAGGAGUCCUUCCGGCGCCUCCAACCGCCUCCGCCGCUGCGCUCCGGGGAGAGGGGAGGGUCCCGAGCGGCCGCUCGGCCCAGGGGGGCUGCGCGCGCCCGGAGCUCCGAGCCCGCAGCGGGCGGGGCGCGCGGCGUCAGGGAAGGACCGGCGGGCGGAGGGGGGGCCCCGCCCAGAGCGCGCGGACGCAGGCGGCGUUGCCGUCUCAGGAGCCAGCCGGGAAGCCAGCGUGUGCAGCAAGAUGGUUGGGUUUGGAUUGUUGUACUUUUUUUUUUGUUCGUUGCAUUUUAAGGAACAAAAAAAAAAGCCCAACCCUUCACACCACUUCAUUUGCAUCUCUCAAGACCGGAAGCCCGGCCACAGCGGCCUGCGGGGCGGAAGACAGCUGACUGCCUCGCACCCCACAACCGGGCGGGUGGGACUGGGAGGGGUACUCCUGUUGGGACCAAAGCCAGGGGGUUCCAGCCAGAGCACAACCAAAGUGAACGGUUGUCCCCACACCCAACCUUGCACCUGUAUCUUUGCAGGCUUUAAGCUGAACACUAAGCGGCCCAAUUCUAUUUAAGAUUUCAUUCUGGAAAAAACGCUGCUCUUUCCUUCAGAGAGAAGGAGGAACUAAAAAUUGGCUUUAACUUAAUGAGCCACUAAUGGCUUUUCAGUUGCUAAUCUAACUCACUGUUCUGAUGUGCAGCUCUCUGUGUAAGGACCUUAUCCUAUAUAAUAAAAGCCUAAUAUGCUAAGUGUCCAUUCAACCAAGCAAAGCGUAAUAUGCUAAUGAUAUGCUAAGACCGUUCAACUGCUUGCUAUGAUGUGCACUGACCACCAGAGGGCAGACGCUCUGACCGGUGGGUUAGCUUGCUGCUGGGGUCCAACCAACCAGGACUGAGCAAGAUGGGCCCGAUACCCCUGGAGCCCUCCCACGGUCCCUUCCCAGCUGGCCAACCUCCCAUGCCCUCCCUGGCCCCGAUUGUGCACCAGUGGGGGUCCCACGGCCUGGCCUGCACCCUCUCGAAAUCUGGGACCCUUAGGGGGAUGUCAGAGAGUUGGUUUCGGCCCGAUCCCACAGGCCAGGCCAAGGGAACCCACUGGUGCACAAAUCUGUGCACCAGGCCUCUAGUCUAUAAACAUACCAGUAAAAGCCUAAACAACCAGACAACCGAACACCUGGAACGACAAGUCAACCGACCAGUAGCUAUGAUGUGCACUGACCACCAGGGGGCAAAUGCUCAAUGCAGAGCUGCCCCCUGGUGGUCAGUUCACUCCCACAGCCAACCUCCCACGGCCCCUCCCCCUUGCCGGCCAGCCCCCCAAAUAGGCCACGAUUGGGGGGCCAGCCAGCCAGUCUCCCAGGGUCCAUGCCCCUGGCCAGCCCCCCAAUAGGCCUCAAUCCCUGGGCAGGCCAAGGGACCCCACCCAUGCACGAAUUCAUGCACCAGGCCUCUAUUAUAAACACAUUAAGCACUUAACCAAUGAGCAGUUAUAAGAAGGAUGUAAAGAUGAAGGAAUGGCUUCUCCAAAUUUUAUAGUCUGGGGGAAGUGAAACAAGGACAAAAACAUCACAGAAUAUGCCCUGGGGUUGAGUUCACCCAGGUGGGGAAGUCUGGGCUUAGAAUUUGGGAGAAAGGUAUUUGAGGCCUACCAUACAUAGAAUUUGAGCCUCAUGACUAAUAAAUGUUUUGCUCAAAACCCAUAAAAAGCACCUCCCUACUAUUCUGAGAUGUCCAGUUCCUCACCAUGCCCAAGGUCCCUUAAAUCCAAUUUUGUCUUUCUAGAACAUUGCUAUAUUUAUGUCAUUUAAUCUUCAUAAGAACACUGUGGAGUGGAAAGUAUCCUCAUUCUAUAGAUGAAGAAAGGGAUGAAGGGAGUUCUCUGAAGUAAAUAAGAGGCAGAGCUAAAAUCAGGUUCCAGGUUUAGGUUCUUUCUAUAGCACAGUAACUGUCAGUGCCAAUAAAAACUGCACCCCAGUCUCCUAUAUUAGUAUUAUUUUUAAAGGCUGAUUUUUAGAAACAUUUUAAAUAUCUCACUAUUAAAAUGAUCCAAGAGAGAAAGUUAGGUUAUUAACACAUAAAUCACAAUUUAUCCUUACUGUAAUUGUAUAAUACAUAUUUAUAUAGUUCUAAUUAAUAAACUUCUGCCAAACUAAAUGUAAAACACUGGUUAAACAUGCAUAGAAACCUCUAGAUUGUUUUGUAAAAAAUUACUAAGAGAACAUUAUAUAGUUAAACUCCUGAGUAUAGAAAAAUAAGGAAGGAAUACGGGGCUCUCUCUCUUCCCAUGAUCCUAAAAGAAUAUCAGUCAGAGAAUCUCACAUAUAGUAUAACUAGAAAAGAGAGUAACGGUGGGCCAGAUUAAAACAUAUACACAGCUUACAUCCUUCCUGGAAGAGCACAAUGUAACUAGAUCCUGUUAGAGAUAACAUUGAGUGAUUGUCAAAAUUCUGUCACACUGGAAUUUCCUUCUAUUGACUGGUCUUCACAUAAGUAAACUAACAACUAAAGAUUGGAAUUAAUGCAUCGGCACAGUAAUAAGACUAUGGAUAUAGUCUUAUUUCUUUCUGUUGUUUGUGAUAAGUAUAUUUAUAGGUAGAACUUCAUAUAUACAUAAUCUUAUUUGUUGCAUUGUUUUAUUGUUUUCGUGCUGAACCUUGACAAAGAUUAAAAAAAAAAAAUGCCGCUUUCCUUCCACCUACCAAGACAUGUGAGCAGGUGUUCCAUUAAAAAACAAAAGGACAGUGUCAAUUUGGUGUACACUGAAAUAUAAAUUUUCAGAGUGGGGAACAUCUAAUAAGUAAGCCUGGAGCAAUUGUUGUGCAGGAGAGGGGUCCUGGUGAGCCUCCUCAGAUACGCUUGAACAUUUUAUUUUUCUGUCCUUCCCAACAGCUGUCAAAGUCGGGAGUGCAAGCCCCAACAUCCCCCAAAGAGGACCCCUAACAAUAAAAGGCACUAACAUCCCAAGUUGUGAAAAGAGCAAAGGCUUUGGAACCAGUUCUGCAUCCAUAAUCUAGCUCUACCACUUACUCACUAGUUGUUCAAGUUACUUAGCAUCUCAAAGCUUCAGUCUUCUGUAAAAUGGGGAUCAUGAUUUACUUGAUUAUGGAAAUAAUAUUUAAAGCCACCAACAUUGUGUCUGACACAUAGCAGGUGCUUAAUAAAUGGUUGCUACUGUUAUAUGAAAGAAGAAACCAUGCUGGGUUUGAUUACAGUUGCCUUGGAUUUAUAACUUUGAGGCUCCCAUGAUAGUCUUAAGCAGAGCUAAACUGCCUAUGAAGUAGAGGAAGUAAGCAUCAUAAUUUUUGCUUUUCCACACCCAGCCCAGGAUGACCUUUUAGAAAGUAUAUAUCCUUCCACUUCUAUCUAUACCUCCUUCCCUGCAUUUAAGGAGAGAAAAAGGGAAAAACGUCACACUCGAAGAAAGGAAGACUGCAGUUUUUAAAAAAGCUCUAGAAUUUUAGAGAAAUUUAACAUCCAAAAUAUUCCAUUUAAAAGAAAAAAAGUCUAUCUGUAAAAAUACAUUUAUCACAAAAGGCAGAAACUUACCUAAAACUUGAGAAAUUAAAGGAAUUGGUCCCUGGUUUGAAGAAAUUCCAGAUUCCAUAUAUUUCAGUUAUAUAGAAUUUUGGUUCUGAAUAUCUAGAUUUAUCAGAUACCUACAAGAAAUUGUACAAGUAUUGUGCAAGAAAUACAUUUCAUGUUUUUUUU
Molecule: long non-coding RNA, 4764 nt
Organism: Myotis daubentonii (Daubenton's bat)
Lineage: Eukaryota; Metazoa; Chordata; Mammalia; Chiroptera; Vespertilionidae
Exons: 5
Source: RefSeq, a predicted model, not a curated record